GAAACAUGGCAGAGUAGUGUUAUGAAUUUGAUUCCACGUGUUUAGAAAUAUUAACUUUUGAGUUUAAUUUAGCAGUAUGAUAUAUUAAAUAGUCCUCCUUUGUCAAUUCUUUAAUAUUCAAUUAUACUUUUGUGUCUUUUGAAAACUUUCCUCUUUAGAUGUCAUAAAUAAAUAUUUCUUUACAUUUGACUUGUUAAAUAAAAAUUAAAAAAACUCUUUACAGGUGGGAUACUUUGGCAGGUGAC
Molecule: unclassified non-coding RNA, 245 nt
Filed under: Hevea brasiliensis (rubber tree)
Lineage: Eukaryota; Viridiplantae; Streptophyta; Magnoliopsida; Malpighiales; Euphorbiaceae
Source: RNAcentral